CCUACGGGGGGCAGCAGUGAGGAAUAUUGGACAAUGGGCGCAAGCCUGAUCCAGCCAUGCCGCGUGCAGGAUGAGGGUCCUAUGGAUUGUAAACUGCUUUUGUACAGGAAGAAACACUCCCUCGUGAGGGAGUUUGACGGUACUGUAAGAAUAAGGAUCGGCUAACUCCGUGCCAGCAGCCGCGGUAAUACGGAGGAUCCAAGCGUUAUCCGGAAUCAUUGGGUUUAAAGGGUCCGUAGGCGGUUAAGUAAGUCAGUGGUGAAAGCCCAUCGCUCAACGGUGGAACGGCCAUUGAUACUGCUUGACUUGAAUUAUUAGGAAGUAACUAGAAUAUGUAGUGUAGCGGUGAAAUGCUUAGAGAUUACAUGGAAUACCAAUUGCGAAGGCAGGUUACUACUAAUGGAUUGACGCUGAUGGACGAAAGCGUGGGUAGCGAACAGGAUUAGAUACCCGAGUAGUC
Molecule: ribosomal RNA, 460 nt
Filed under: uncultured bacterium
Lineage: Bacteria
Description: bacterial SSU rRNA
Rfam family: Bacterial small subunit ribosomal RNA
Source: RNAcentral